AAUCAACGCUGGCGGCGUGCCUCAGACAUGCAAGUCGAACGAUUAAACUUUCCUUCGGGAAAGAUAUAGAGUGGCGCACGGGUGAGUAACACGUAAGUAAUCUACCCUCGAGUGGGGAAUAACGUCCGGAAACGGACGCUAAUACCGCAUAAUGCAGCGGCACCGCAAGGUGACAGUUGUUAAAGAUUUAUCGCUUGAGGAGGAGCUUGCGGCAGAUUAGCUAGUUGGUAAGGAAUGGCUUACCAAGGCUACGAUCUGUAACCGGUCUAAGAGGACGGUCGGUCACACUGACACUGAAUAACGGGUCAGACUCCUACGGGAGGCAGCAGUCGGGAAUUUUGGGCAAUGGGCGAAAGCCUGACCCAGCAACGCCGCGUGAAGGAUGAAGUAUUUCGGUAUGUAAACUUCGAAAGAAUGGGAAGAAUAAAUGACGUACCAUUUAUAAGGUCCGGCUAACUACGUGCCAGCCGCCGCGGUAC
Molecule: ribosomal RNA, 479 nt
Filed under: uncultured bacterium
Lineage: Bacteria
Description: bacterial SSU rRNA
Rfam family: Bacterial small subunit ribosomal RNA
Source: RNAcentral